GCGGCCACCUCCCUGCCCCCCCCACGACACCCGUGAAAAGGGGCUUUUGCGCGACGCGAGAACCACCCCGUGGGCGGACCCCCCCUCUCAGCGACGCCGCCCAGGCGAAGCAGAGCUGGCCGCAGGGAAAGGCAGCCAAGCCCAGGGCCAGCGCCUCGCCUUCGCGGAAGAGCAUCGCCGCCAGCCGACCGAAACGCGACAACACAAAUGUGUCGCGCACAAAAAUGCGUUUUUUGUAUGCACGAAGCUAGGUGUAACCGGGAUGAUCUGCCGAAGGCCGAUCUCAUUCGCGCAACGGCUAAACGCAGUCCUAAAAACGU
Molecule: unclassified non-coding RNA, 320 nt
Filed under: Leishmania donovani
Lineage: Eukaryota; Euglenozoa; Kinetoplastea; Trypanosomatida; Trypanosomatidae
Description: gene:unknown
Source: RNAcentral